GAUGAACGCUGGCGGCGUGCCUAAUACAUGCAAGUCGAGCGAACAGACGAGGAGCUUGCUCCUCUGACGUUAGCGGCGGACGGGUGAGUAACACGUGGAUAACCUACCUAUAAGACUGGGAUAACUUCGGGAAACCGGAGCUAAUACCGGAUAAUAUAUUGAACCGCAUGGUUCAAUAGUGAAAGACGGUUUUGCUGUCACUUAUAGAUGGAUCCGCGCCGCAUUAGCUAGUUGGUAAGGUAACGGCUUACCAAGGCGACGAUGCGUAGCCGACCUGAGAGGGUGAUCGGCCACACUGGAACUGAGACACGGUCCAGACUCCUACGGGAGGCAGCAGUAGGGAAUCUUCCGCAAUGGGCGAAAGCCUGACGGAGCAAGGCCGCGUGAGUGAUGAAGGUCUUCGGAUCGUAAAACUCUGUUAUUAGGGAAGAACAAAUGUGUAAGUAACUAUGCACGUCUUGACGGUACCUAAUCAGAAAGCCACGGCUAACUACGUG
RNAcentral lists this ribosomal RNA (497 nucleotides) under uncultured bacterium. RNAcentral describes it as "partial 16S ribosomal RNA". It matches the Rfam family "Bacterial small subunit ribosomal RNA", at positions 28 to 507 of the family's 1533-position model. The record is from RNAcentral.